This 1547-nucleotide ribosomal RNA is filed under the name Salmonella enterica. Its description in RNAcentral is "bacterial SSU rRNA". It matches the Rfam family "Bacterial small subunit ribosomal RNA". Lineage: Bacteria; Pseudomonadati; Pseudomonadota; Gammaproteobacteria; Enterobacterales; Enterobacteriaceae. The record is from RNAcentral.
UUAAAUUGAAGAGUUUGAUCAUGGCUCAGAUUGAACGCUGGCGGCAGGCCUAACACAUGCAAGUCGAACGGUAACAGGAAGCAGCUUGCUGCUUUGCUGACGAGUGGCGGACGGGUGAGUAAUGUCUGGGAAACUGCCUGAUGGAGGGGGAUAACUACUGGAAACGGUGGCUAAUACCGCAUAACGUCGCAAGACCAAAGAGGGGGACCUUCGGGCCUCUUGCCAUCAGAUGUGCCCAGAUGGGAUUAGCUUGUUGGUGAGGUAACGGCUCACCAAGGCGACGAUCCCUAGCUGGUCUGAGAGGAUGACCAGCCACACUGGAACUGAGACACGGUCCAGACUCCUACGGGAGGCAGCAGUGGGGAAUAUUGCACAAUGGGCGCAAGCCUGAUGCAGCCAUGCCGCGUGUAUGAAGAAGGCCUUCGGGUUGUAAAGUACUUUCAGCGGGGAGGAAGGUGUUGUGGUUAAUAACCACAGCAAUUGACGUUACCCGCAGAAGAAGCACCGGCUAACUCCGUGCCAGCAGCCGCGGUAAUACGGAGGGUGCAAGCGUUAAUCGGAAUUACUGGGCGUAAAGCGCACGCAGGCGGUCUGUCAAGUCGGAUGUGAAAUCCCCGGGCUCAACCUGGGAACUGCAUUCGAAACUGGCAGGCUUGAGUCUUGUAGAGGGGGGUAGAAUUCCAGGUGUAGCGGUGAAAUGCGUAGAGAUCUGGAGGAAUACCGGUGGCGAAGGCGGCCCCCUGGACAAAGACUGACGCUCAGGUGCGAAAGCGUGGGGAGCAAACAGGAUUAGAUACCCUGGUAGUCCACGCCGUAAACGAUGUCUACUUGGAGGUUGUGCCCUUGAGGCGUGGCUUCCGGAGCUAACGCGUUAAGUAGACCGCCUGGGGAGUACGGCCGCAAGGUUAAAACUCAAAUGAAUUGACGGGGGCCCGCACAAGCGGUGGAGCAUGUGGUUUAAUUCGAUGCAACGCGAAGAACCUUACCUGGUCUUGACAUCCACGGAAGUUUUCAGAGAUGAGAAUGUGCCUUCGGGAACCGUGAGACAGGUGCUGCAUGGCUGUCGUCAGCUCGUGUUGUGAAAUGUUGGGUUAAGUCCCGCAACGAGCGCAACCCUUAUCCUUUGUUGCCAGCGAUUAGGUCGGGAACUCAAAGGAGACUGCCAGUGAUAAACUGGAGGAAGGUGGGGAUGACGUCAAGUCAUCAUGGCCCUUACGACCAGGGCUACACACGUGCUACAAUGGCGCAUACAAAGAGAAGCGACCUCGCGAGAGCAAGCGGACCUCAUAAAGUGCGUCGUAGUCCGGAUUGGAGUCUGCAACUCGACUCCAUGAAGUCGGAAUCGCUAGUAAUCGUGGAUCAGAAUGCCACGGUGAAUACGUUCCCGGGCCUUGUACACACCGCCCGUCACACCAUGGGAGUGGGUUGCAAAAGAAGUAGGUAGCUUAACCUUCGGGAGGGCGCUUACCACUUUGUGAUUCAUGACUGGGGUGAAGUCGUAACAAGGUAACCGUAGGGGAACCUGCGGUUGGAUCACCUCCUUACCU